CUUAUUCCUGUUCAUUUAUUAUCACUUUUAAUAAAAUAAGAUGAAAUAAAAAAGGAAAUAAGAUGCAUAAAAAGUAUUAAAGAAUUUUUAAUGUUUAAAUCAAAUGUUUAGAUAUAGAAUUCAAUAAAAUGAUGUUUAAUAACAUAAUUCAAUUCAGUAAUGACUGAUGGAAGAACUUGUAUAGUUCGGUACAUAAAAUCUUGGAAUGAAUGUAUGCAGAAGUGACCAUUUCAGAACUUAAUGCAGGCUGGCCAAUACUGCAACUGGGACAGAAGUUUAUUGAAGAGUUAAGGAAUGGUAAAUGGAUUAAGCCUGAAGUCACCCUGAAAAUUGUGAAAUUUAAACCUGGAAUUGAUCUCAAUUCUCCAGAUGAAAUUUUUGAGUAUGGCUAUCCAGCUGAUCAGUUAAUGAAAAUAUAAAUGUGAACUUGCCAGUCUUUUAUCAGGAAGCUAGAGCUUUAAAAAAUUGAAACUGAAUCAAAAUUUUAAUUUCCUAUUUCAGUGUAC
This 506-nucleotide long non-coding RNA is filed under the name Androctonus crassicauda. The record is from RNAcentral. Lineage: Eukaryota; Metazoa; Arthropoda; Arachnida; Scorpiones; Buthidae.